This 408-nucleotide ribosomal RNA is filed under the name Fusobacteriota bacterium. Its description in RNAcentral is "Fusobacteria bacterium partial 16S ribosomal RNA". It matches the Rfam family "Bacterial small subunit ribosomal RNA", at positions 355 to 776 of the family's 1533-position model. The record is from RNAcentral. Lineage: Bacteria; Fusobacteriati; Fusobacteriota.
UGGGGAAUAUUGCACAAUGGACGGAAGUCUGAUGCAGCAACGCCGCGUGCGGGAUGACGGCCUUCGGGUUGUAAACCGCUUUUUCUCAUGACGAAGUUUUUUGACGGUAGUGGGGGAAGAAGCACCGGCUAACUACGUGCCAGCAGCCGCGGUGAUACGUAGGGUGCGAGCGUUGUCCGGAAUUAUUGGGCGUAAAGAGCUUGUAGGCGGUUUGUCGCGUAGAUAGUGCAAACUCAGUGCUUAACGCUGAGCCUGCUGUUGAUACGGGCAGACUAGAGGAAGGUAGGGGGGAAUGGAAUUCCCGGUGGAGCGGUGGAAUGCGCAGAUAUCGGGAGGAACACCGGUGGCGAAGGCGGUUCUCUGGGCCUUUACUGACGCUGAGAAGCGAAAGCGAGGGGAGCGAACAGG